GUAUCCUACGGGAGGCAGCAGUAGGGAAUAUUGCUCAAUGGGGGAAACCCUGAAGCAGCAACGCCGCGUGAAGGAAGACGGUUCUCGGAUUGUAAACUUCUGUUCUUAGUGAAGAAAAAUGACGGUAGCUAAGGAGCAAGCCACGGCUAACUACGUGCCAGCAGCCGCGGUAAUACGUAGGUGGCAAGCGUUGUCCGGAAUUACUGGGUGUAAAGGGAGCGCAGGCGGGAAGCCAAGUCAGCUGUGAAAACUACGGGCUUAACUUGUAGCCUGCAGUUGAAACUGGUUUUCUUGAGUGAAGUAGA
This 305-nucleotide ribosomal RNA is filed under the name uncultured bacterium. RNAcentral describes it as "bacterial SSU rRNA". It matches the Rfam family "Bacterial small subunit ribosomal RNA", at positions 334 to 655 of the family's 1533-position model. The record is from RNAcentral.